This 468-nucleotide ribosomal RNA is filed under the name uncultured bacterium. RNAcentral describes it as "partial 16S ribosomal RNA". It matches the Rfam family "Bacterial small subunit ribosomal RNA", at positions 28 to 507 of the family's 1533-position model. The record is from RNAcentral.
GACGAACGCUGGCGGCGUGCUUAACACAUGCAAGUCGAACGGAAAGGCCCUGCUUUUGUGGGGUGCUCGAGUGGCGAACGGGUGAGUAACACGUGAGUAACCUGCCCUUGACUUUGGGAUAACUUCAGGAAACUGGGGCUAAUACCGGAUAGGAGCUCCUGCUCCAUGGGGGGGGUUGGAAAGUUUCGGUGGUGGGGGCAGGACUGGAGGCUUAUCCGCUUGUUGGUGGGGUAGUGGCUUACCAAGGGUUUGACGGGUAGCCGGCCUGGGAGGGUGAACGGCGACCAUGGGACUGAGAUACGGCGCAGUCGCGGACGGGAGGCAGUAGGGGGGAAUAUUGCACAAUGGGGGGACGCGUGUGGCAGCGACGCCCGGUGCGGGAUGACGGGUUUCGGGUUGUAAACCGCUUUCGCAUGUGACGAAGCGUGAGUGACGGUAAUGGGUAAAGAAGCACCGGCUAACUACGUA